This 276-nucleotide ribosomal RNA is filed under the name uncultured prokaryote. RNAcentral's name for it is "partial 16S ribosomal RNA". It matches the Rfam family "Bacterial small subunit ribosomal RNA", at positions 524 to 800 of the family's 1533-position model. The record is from RNAcentral.
UACGUAUGGGGCAAGCGUUAUCCGGAAUUAUUGGGCGUAAAGAGUGCGUAGGUGGUUACCUAAGCGCAAGGUUUAAUCUUGAGGCUCAACCUCAUUCUGCCUUGCGAACUGGGCUACUUGAGUGCAGGAGGGGAAAGCGGAAUUCCCAGUGUAGCGGUGAAAUGCGUAGAUAUUGGGAAGAACACCGGUGGCGAAGGCGGCUUUCUGGACUGUAACUGACACUGAGGCACGAAAGCGUGGGGAGCAACCAGGAUUAGAUACCCGCGUAGUCCCUGA